Molecule: long non-coding RNA, 7572 nt
Filed under: Olea europaea subsp. europaea
Lineage: Eukaryota; Viridiplantae; Streptophyta; Magnoliopsida; Lamiales; Oleaceae
Source: RNAcentral
CCUUCCUUCACUCGCCGUCUAGAUCGUUUGAUAACAUCUGGCAUGCACUUCAUAACCAUCUUCCAGAAUCUUGAUCCUUUAGUAGCAUCCACCUGAGAUAUAUGUUUGUCUUUGAUAUAUUUUCCCUAAAAAUUUUUGACCAAAGAGAUGUUUCAGUCAAAAUUUUCCAAGCAAAUUUCAUAUUUAGCAAUAGUUGCACUUCAUGUAGACUACGAAGUCCAGUACCGCCUUUUUUAAUAGGCAUACAAAUUUUGUCCCAUGCUACCCAUUUCCUCUUAGGCUUUCCAUCCGCAUAUCCCCAGAAGAAAUCACUAAAUACUCUAUUGAUGACUUUUAUAACCGAAGAAGGAGCUUAUAUACAAGAAAUCAGAUGCACAAGUAUGCUUGUGAGGACAUGUUUCAGAAGCAGCAGUCUAGCCCCCUUUAGAUAAGACUCUACUUUGCCAACCUGCCAAUCUCAUACGAAUUUUUUCUACCACUUCCUCAAAAUCUCGAGCUCUCAAUCUUCCUGUGAUUAUAGGAAUCCCUAAAUAUUUGAAAGGAAAUUUACCUUCAGUUAAUCCAGUGAGUCAUAAGAGCAUCCAUCUUCUUGACACGGUGAUCUGUUUAGAGAAAAGGAUGAAUGUUUUAUCAACACUUACAACCUAUCCCGACCGUUAUUUAUAUUUUCUGAAUACUUCCUUAAUCGCUCUUAACGACUUUUUGCCACCAUUCACAAAUAUCACGAUGUCAUCAGCGUACAGUAGAUGAGAAAUUAGGGGAGCCCCCCUUGGCAAGGAAAAAGGUCUUAUGCUUCCAUCUUCAUAUUUAGCUCUCAACAUUCUGGAUAAAACUUCUUCAACCACGAUAACGAGAUAUGGGGAUAGGGGAUUCCCUUGUCUCAAACCUCUUCCACCUUUGAAGAAACCUUUCAUAGUUCCAUUCAUCAUCACAGAAUACCAAGGAGAGGUUACACACUAUUUUACCAGAUCACAAAUCUUGGGCGAGAAACCAAAAGAUCUCAAAACGUGCAUAAGAAAAUCCCAAAUCAGUGUUGUCUUAUGCUUUGGCAAUAUCCACUUUAAGCACUACAUUUCCACCCCUUAUAGGCUAGUGAAGGUAAGGAAUCAUCUCUUGAGAUAGAGUAAUAUUAUCAAAAAUACUCCUUCCCGGAAUAAGAGCAAGCAUAGAAAUAAUUCUUGGUAGAAUUAUAACUAUUCUUUUAACCAGAAUCUUCGACCAUACCUUGUACAUUACUUAACAUAGACUGAUUGGUCUGAACUUGUCAAAACUCGAAGGGGAAGCUAUCUUCGAAAUUAGCACCACGUAGGAUGAUGAGUAAAAUCUUGAAAUAUCUGUACCUUAAAAGAAAUCGCACACUGCCUCCACAACAUCUUCACCCACAAUGUCCCAACAAGAUUUAUAGAAGCCAGAGCCAAAUCCAUCAGCCCCGGGCUACUGUCAAUUGGGAUAGAAAAAACUGCUUCUUUGACCUCCUAGGGAGUAAGAAGCCUUCCUAUUUCCUCAUUCUCUGCUUCUAAAACAGUUGGUUGGAUCCAGGCUAAUAAGUCUAGUUGGUCUCUUCUGGGUCUAGCUCCUAAUAAAAUUUGAAAAUAGUCAACCCCUCCGUGAUGGAUAGCCUUAGGAUUUUCAAGCAGUGACCCAUCUCUUAGUCUCAUCUCCUUGACCUUGUGAUAUGAUCCGGGAGUUGAGCCUGACGAAGGCAAGUGCAAGACGAGACCCGUUGAUAGUCGAUGGCGGACCAAUGACGCAAUCAAAGGCAAAGCAAGUAAAAGAAGUGAUGAGAUUGCUUGUUCAAGAAACCAUUGGUGGAACCAUGUUCGGGACUCAAAAUGGAGCAACUUUCAUGUUCGGGUCGAAGGCCGAAUCAAUUUGGAUUAAUUUGUUAUCAAAUGACGAAACUGGAGGCUGAAAACAAGCCUGUGCGACCACACAGGCUAAAACACCAUGCGACCGCAUGGAAAUACACUAUAUGGUCGCAUAGGCCGAAAAUUUGGCGAAUUUUCUAAUUUUGGCAAUUUUCCAUAUUUUGUUAGUUUUUGAUUCUUUUCCAUAUUUUGGGGAUUAUGAUCGACUUUUGCACGAUUUUUACCUAGUUUUUAGGUUUAGUAUAAAUAGGAGUUUCCAUUCAAUUUUUAAAAACUUUUGACAUUAUUGAUAUUUAAUUAAAAGUGAGGCGUAUUAUCUUCUCUUUAUCGUUCUUCAUCGAACAACUUCGAACUUAUCAAGUUUAACUUGUGGCGUUCAAACAACCGGGUUUAAUUCUUGGAUUGCGUGAUCAAGGGGUUUUUUGGUUCAACUUUCUUUUGAGUUAAUCCUAAACUCUUGGAUUAAUUUGGCUUUCUUGGGUUCGUCAAUCUCGUUGUAGGUUUCGUAGUCAACAUUGUUACGGAGUUCGCAUCAGUUGGUAUCAGAGCUUUGGCUCCAAAUUAAUUGAAGGUUAUAUCUUUUUUUUAUUUGUUUGAGUCGUUAAUUUUGUUUUCUUAGUUUCUUCUUCUAUUUUAAUUGUUCUUUCUUAGUUCUUCUUCGAUCUUGUUUUUCUUUUCGUCGUUUCAUUGAGUUGUUGGUAGUCUUCUUUCAUCAAGGAGUACAAAAAAAAGUUACUGUACAAUUGCUAAUCUUAGCCGAGGACAAGUGGAGAUGUCUAAUGCUAGGGGGCCGGGUAGGCGUGAAUCUAGGAGAGAAAGGCGAGAUGAGUAUCGUAGUGAUGAUGAUGAUUUUGAUGAAAAUGACUUUGAUAUGGGUCAAGCGAGGCAUAAGGGCGAUAGGAUGGAAAGACGGGAUAGAAAUAACUUGAGAGAUGAAGUAGAUGGAAAUUUGGGGAGUACUAAAAUGAUUAUUCUGCAAUUUAAAGGGAGAAGCAAUCCGAAAGCAUAUUUAGAGUUGGAAAGGAAGGUUGAGAUGAUUUUUGAGUGCUAUAAUUAUUCGGAGGAGAAAAAGGUAAAAUUGGCGGUGCUUGAAUUCGUGGAUUACGCGAUAUCUUGGUGGGAUCAAGUACUUACAUCACGACGUAGGGAUCGAGAAAGACCAAUUAGCACUUGGGAUGAAUUUAAGGUAUUGAUGAGAAGGAGGUUUGUUCCGAGUCACUAUUAUAGGGAAAUCCACCAAAACUUGCAAGGUUUGUACCAAGGAUCGAAAAGCGUAGAGGAUUAUCACAAGGAGAUGGAAAUUCUUAUGAUUCGGGCUAAUGUGGAGGAAGAUCGGGAAGCUACCAUGGCACGGUUCUUGAAUGGGUUAAAUCGGAACAUUGUAGAGUUGCAACACUAUGUGGAAAUCGAGGACAUGUUACAUGUGGCAAUGAAGGUCGAGAGGCAAUGAAGAGGAAGGGGACGUCUAGACAAUCGUUAGGUACUUCGACUCCUAAUCCAACAUGAAAAUCGAAGUGGGAUGACAACAACAAAAACGGGGCUGCACCUAGAGGUAAAAAUGAUUGGCAAAAGGACAAGGAUGAAAACGCUAGCAAACCAAUAUCAAAAUCGGAGGCACAACCGUCGCGCAAUCGGGACAUCAAAUGUUUUAGGUGUUUGGGAACGGGGCAUAUUGCUUUUCAAUGUCCAAACAAAUGGGUGAUGGUGUUACGGGAUAAUGGAGAGAUUGUGAGCAAUAGUGAUGGCGAGUUUGAUGACAUGCCGACGUUGGAGGCUGUUAGUGAAGAAGAAAAAGUUGAACUGCCGAUUGGGGAUCUACUAGUCACAAGGCGAGCUCUCACUACUCACGUCAAAGCGGAUGACUUGGAGUUGCAACGGGAGAACAUUUUCCACACUCGAUGUACGAUAUGUAGUGUUAUAAUUGAUGGUGGUAGUUGCACUAAUGUAGCUAGCGUAUCUCUUGUAGAAAAAUUGGGUUUAACAUUGUUGAGACACCCGAGACCUUAUAAACUACAAUGGUUGAAUGAGAGUGGCGAGGUGAGGGUGAAUCGAAGGGUGCUAAUUAAUUCGUCAAUUGGGAGUUAUAAGGAUGAGUUAGUGUGUGAUGUGGUGCCAAUGCAAGCGGGACAUAUUUUAUUGGGGCGACCAUGGCAAUACGAUAGGAAGACUAUGCAUGAUGGGUAUAAAAAUCGACAUAGUUUCAUUAAGGAUGGAAGGACCAUUACUCUUGUGCCAUUAACACAAGUGCAAGUCUAUGAGGACCAAUUAAAAUUGAGAAGUGAGGAAGAGAGGAGAGUCAAAGAGUUAGAAAAAAAGAGAGAAAGUGGUGAGUUAGAGAAGAAGAGAGAAAAUGUUGAGAUAGCCACUAGAGAGAAAAAAAGAGAGCAAGCACAAGAAAAAAAAGAAAGGGAGUGUUACGAGAGAAGAGAGAAAACACGAGCGAAUUUCUUUGCAAAAGAAAGUAAUUUGAGGAGGGCAGUAGUUGAGGGAAAAUAGAUGAUCUUGUUCGUUUAUAAGGAAUCACUCCUCAAUUUUGAGGAAACUAACCCACCCCUCCCUAGUUUGGCUAAGUCUUUAUUGCAGGAAUUCGAGGAUGUAUUUCCGAAGGAUGCACCAAGUGAAUUGCCGCCUAUUCAAGGCAUUGAACAUCAAAUUGACUUCAUACCCGGAGCUGUCAUUCCAAAUUGACCGGCUUAUCGAAAUAAUCCCGAUGAGACUAAGGAGCUUCAAAGUCAAGUGGAGGAGUUAAUGAGCAAAGGAUACAUGAGGGAAAGCAUGAGUCGUUGUGCGGUACCGAUUUUGCUUGUGCCAAAAAAGGAUGGAACAUGACGAAUGUGCGUGGAUUGUAGGGCUAUCAACAACAUAACGGUAAAGUAUCGUCACCCUAUACCUAGGUUAGAUGACAUGCUUGAUGAAUUACAUGGUGCUUGCAUAUUUUCUAAAAUUGAUUUAAAAAGCGGGUGUCAUCAAAUUCGUAUGCGGGAGGAUGAUGAAUGGAAAACGGCUUUUAAAACUAAAUAUGGUUUAUAUGAAUGGUUGGUUAUGCCGUUUGGACUCACAAAUGCACCUAGAACUUUUAUGGGUUUAAUGAAUCAUGUUUUACGUGCUUUUAUAGGAAAAUUUGUUGUGGUUUAUUUUGACGACAUCUUAAUCUAUAGCAAAGACCUAGGAGAGCAUUUGGAACAUUUAAAGUGUGUGUUAAUUGUUUUAAGGAAAGAACAACUCUAUGCUAAUCUUAAGAAAUACACGUUUUGUGUGGAUAGAGUUAUUUUUCUUAGUUUUGUGGUUAGUGCUAAUGGGGUAGAAGUAGAUGAUGAAAAGAUAAAAGCUAUUAGAGAUUGGCCGAAACCUAAAAGCAUAAAGGAAGUUAGGAGUUUUCAUGGUUUGACUAGUUUUUAUAGGCGUUUUGUGAAGGAUUUUAGCACUAUCACCGCACCGCUCACGGAAGUACUUAAAAAGAGUGUAGAUUUUUAUUGGAGUGAUGAACAGGAACUUGAAUUUAAUACUAUUAAAGGUAGAUUGUGUGAAGCACCUGUUUUGGCAUUACCUAACUUUGAUAAAACAUUCGAGAUUGAAUGUGAUGAAUCAGGAAUAGGGAUUGGGGCAGUUUUAAUGCAGGAUCGGAGGCCUAUUGCAUACUUUAGCGAGAAAUUGAGUGGAGUGGCUUUAAAUUAUCCUACAUACGACAAAGAACUUUAUGCACUUGCUCGAGUUUUGGAGACUUGGCAACAUUAUCUAUGGCCGAAAGAGUUCGUAAUACACACCGAUCAUGAGUCACUAAAGCACUUGCGGGGACAAGAUAAAUUGAACAAGAGGCAUGCACGGUGGAUGGAAUUCAUUGAGACCUUUCCAUACGUCAUUCGGUAUAAACAAGGUAAGGAAAAUGUGGUGGCGGAUGCGUUGUCGCGAAGGUACGUAUUGCUAACUACUCUUGAUUCUAAGCUACUUGGAUUUGAGCAUAUUAAGAAAUUGUAUGAAAAAAAUGUUGAAUUUUCGGAUAUUUAUUUGUCAUGCAUAAAAGGGCGGUUGAUAGAUUCUUUAGGCAUGAGGGGUAUUUAUUUCGGGAAAAUAGGUUAUGUGUUCCUAAUUGUUCUAUUCGGGAGUUGUUAGUAAGGGAAGCACAUAGUGGUGGAUUGAUGGAACACUUUGGGGUUCAAAAGACUUUAGUUGUAUUGAAGGAGCAUUUUUACUGGCCUAAGAUGAAAAGUGAUGUCGAGCAAAUUUAUAGUCGAUGCAUAGGUUGUAAAAGGGCUAAGUCUAAGGUUUUACCUCAAGGUUUGUACAUACCUUUACCUACACCUAGUGAGCCUGGGGUUGAUAUCUCGAUGGACUUUAUUUUGGGUUUACCUAGGACUAAGAGAGGUCGGGAUUCUAUUUUUGUGGUUAUAGAUAGGUUCAGCAAAAUGACACAUUUUAUACCAUGUCACAAAACUGAUGAUGCCACGAACAUUGCUGACUUAUUCUUUAAAAUGAUUGUGCGUUUACAUGGGGUUCUUAGAAGCAGAGUGUCGGAUCGGGAUGUCAAAUUUUUGAGUCACUUUUGGAGAGUUUUGUGGGAUAAGUUAGGCACUAAGUUACUAUUGUUCACAACUUGUCACCCACAAAUGGAUGGGCAAACCGAGGUGGUGAAUAGGACUAUGACACAAUUGUUAUGUACAGUAAUCAAUAAAAAUUUGAAUAGUUGGGAGGAGUGUCUACCAUUUGUUGAAUUUGCAUACAAUCGAGCUGUUCACUCUACUACAUCAUAUUCUCCAUUUGAAAUUGUAUAUGGUUUUAGUCCACUAACUCUUUUGGAUUUAAUUCCUUUACCUGUGAAUGAACAUGGUAAUUUAGAGGGCAAAAAGAAGGCGAAAUUGGUUAAAUCUCUCCAUGAAAAGGUAAAACCGCAAAUUGAAAACAAAAGUAAGUUGGUUGCGUCGCAGGCAAACAAAGGUAGGAAGCGCGUGACAUUCGAACCAGGAGAUUGGGUUUGGGUGCACCUUAGGAAGGAGCGGUUUCCGGAGCAAAGGAAGUCCAAGUUGCAACCGAGGGGCGAUGGACCAUUUCAAGUUAUUGAAAAGAUAAAUGAUAAUGCAUACAAGUUGGACCUUCCAGGUGAGUAUAAUGUUUUGACUACUUUUAAUGUAUCUAAUCUCUCUCUGCUUGAUGCAGGUUUAGAUUCGAGGACGAAUUCUUUUGAAGAGGGAGGGGAUGAUAUGACCCGGGAGUGCGAGACGAGACCCGUUGAUAGUCGAUGGUGGACCAAUGACGCGAUCAAAGGCAAAGCAAGUGAAACAAGCGAUGAGAUUGCUCAUUCAAGAAACCAUUGAUGGAACCAUGUUCGGGACUCAAAAUGGAGUAACUUUCAUGUUCGGGUCGAAUGUCGAAUCAACUUGGAUCAAUUUGUUAUCAAACGACGAAACCGGAGGCUUUAAACGAGCCUAUGCGACCGCACAGGCUAAAAUACCAUGCGACCGCAUAGGUGCUUACCGAAACUUAAAGGAGCCAACCGGAUUGAACCAUGCGACCGCAUGCCAAAAAUUUGGCGAAUUUUCUAAUUUUGGCAAUUUUCCAUAUUUUUUUAGUUUUUGAUUCUUUUCCAUAUUUUGGGGAUUAUGAUCGACUUUUGCACGAUUUUUACCUAGUUUUUAAGUUUAGUAUAAAUAGGAGUUUCCAUUCAAUUGUUAAAAACUUUUGACAUUAUUGAUAUUGAUAUAAAAGUGAG